AGACCAUAAGGAUGGCAUGUCAAGUAAUGCCAUAGAAGGAGAGCUAAGCCAUAUAGAAAAUUCUAACACCUCCCCUAUUUUGAUCACAAGUUCUAAAUGGCUAGAAUGUGUAGAAUGGAUGGAUAAGGAAGAAGCCUUAAUGGGUUCUGACUUUGGCUCAGUUUCAAGUGGUGAGUUCUUGACUCCCUUUGAAGAUGAGAUUCAUCCAACUACAGAAGAGGACAUAGGUGAGACCAAUCCAGGAGAAACUCCGAACA
Molecule: long non-coding RNA, 257 nt
Filed under: Sorghum bicolor (sorghum)
Lineage: Eukaryota; Viridiplantae; Streptophyta; Magnoliopsida; Poales; Poaceae
Description: long non-coding RNA (SBIC_LNC000665)
Source: RNAcentral